UUUUUGCAUAUUCCCAAUGCGGAGGAAAAGAAACCAACAGGGAUUGCCCUAGUAACGGCGAGUGAAGCGGCAACAGCUCAAAUUUGAAAUCUGGCUUCGGCCCGAGUUGUAAUUUGUAGAGGAUGCUUUUGGUGCGGUGCCUUCUGAGUUCCCUGGAACGGGACGCCUUAGAGGGUGAGAGCCCCGUAAAGUUGGACACCAAGCCUAUGUAAAGCUCCUUCGACGAGUCGAGUAGUUUGGGAAUGCUGCUCAAAAUGGGAGGUAAAUUUCUUCUAAAGCUAAAUACCGGCCAGAGACCGAUAGCGCACAAGUAGAGUGAUCGAAAGAUGAAAAGCACUUUGAAAAGAGGGUUAAAAAGUACGUGAAAUUGUUGAAAGGGAAGCGCUUAUGACCAGACUUGUGCCCUGCGGAUCAUCCAGCCUUCUGGCUGGUGCACUUCGCUUGGUUCAGGCCAGCAUCGGUUCUUUGAGGGGGAUAAAAGCUUCAGGAACGUAGCUCCUCCGGGAGCAUUAUAGCCUGUUGCAUAAUACCCUUCGAGGGACCGAGGUUCGCGCAUCUGCAAGGAUGCUGGCGUAAUGGUCAUCAGCGACCCGUCUGAAAAAACACGGAA
RNAcentral lists this ribosomal RNA (610 nucleotides) under [Phialemoniopsis] sp. RS-2022a. RNAcentral's name for it is "partial large subunit ribosomal RNA". It matches the Rfam family "Eukaryotic large subunit ribosomal RNA", at positions 33 to 664 of the family's 3401-position model. The record is from RNAcentral. Lineage: Eukaryota; Fungi; Ascomycota; Sordariomycetes; Thyridiales; Thyridiaceae.